RNAcentral lists this ribosomal RNA (456 nucleotides) under uncultured organism. Its description in RNAcentral is "partial 16S ribosomal RNA". It matches the Rfam family "Bacterial small subunit ribosomal RNA", at positions 329 to 801 of the family's 1533-position model. The record is from RNAcentral.
ACGUACACUCCUACGGGAGGCAGCAGUGGGGAAUAUUGGACAAUGGGCGCAAGCCUGAUCCAGCCAUGCCGCGUGAGUGAUGAAGGCCCUAGGGUUGUAAAGCUCUUUCACCGGUGAAGAUAAUGACGGUAACCGGAGAAGAAGCCCCGGCUAACUUCGUGCCAGCAGCCGCGGUAAUACGAAGGGGGCUAGCGUUGUUCGGAUUUACUGGGCGUAAAGCGCACGUAGGCGGACUAUUAAGUCAGGGGUGAAAUCCCGGGGCUCAACCCCGGAACUGCCUUUGAUACUGGUAGUCUUGAGUUCGAGAGAGGUGAGUGGAAUUCCGAGUGUAGAGGUGAAAUUCGUAGAUAUUCGGAGGAACACCAGUGGCGAAGGCGGCUCACUGGCUCGAUACUGACGCUGAGGUGCGAAAGCGUGGGGAGCAAACAGGAUUAGAAACCCUGGUAGUCCCAUGAU